GAAAUGGGUUGUCAUUGGGUUUAUAAGAGACUUAGACACUAGUAAUAAUAACUGGGCUUAAGCAUUUUGGGCCGGUUGUUGGGUCCAACGAGUUAUUGUUGCUAGUGGGCUGGGUCGUUACAUAUUGUUGCUAGUGGGCUCGGUCGUUAUAUUUGGUAUCAGAGCCGGUUCACCAGCUGGACAUGUAUGGCAAGUCUCGGCUAAGCCAGGGUCUGGAUGACGGGCUAGCGAGACGAGUCUCACAUAACCUGGUGAUCUUGGGCUGUGUGUGAUUGGACUGACGAGGACGUAAGGACCUUAACGGGGGGAGUCUGUGACACCCCAAUAGUCCCACAUCGGAUGGGGAUGGGGUUGUCAUUAGGUUUAUAAGAGACUUAGACACUAGUAAUAAUAACUGGGCUUAAGCAUUUUGGGCCGGUGGUUGGGCCCAACGAGUUAUUGUUGCUAGUGGGCUGGGUCGUUACAUUUGGUAUCAGAGCCGGUUCACCAGCUGGACAUGUGUGGCGAGUCUCGGCUGAGCCAGGGUCUGGAUGACGGGCUAGCGAGACGAGUCUCACAUCGCCUGGUGAUCUUGGGCUGUGUGUGUGAUUGGACUGACGAGGACGUCAGGGCCUUAACGGGGGGAGUCUGUGACACCCCAAUAGUCCCACAUCGGAUGGGAAUGGGGUUGUCAUUGGGUUUAUAAGAGACUUAGACACUAGUAAUAAUAACUGGGCUUAAGCAUUUUGGGCCGGUUGUUGGGUCCAACGAGUUAUUGUUGCUAGUGGGCUGGGUCGUUACAUAUUGUUGCUAGUGGGCUCGGUCGUUAUAUUUGGUAUCAGAGCCGGUUCACCAGCUGGACAUGUAUGGCAAGUCUCGGCUAAGCCAGGGUCUGGAUGACGGGCUAGCGAGACGAGUCUCACAUAACCUGGUGAUCUUGGGCUGUGUGUGAUUGGACUGACGAGGACGUAAGGACCUUAACGGGGGGAGUCUGUGACACCCCAAUAGUCCCACAUCGGAUGGGGAUGGGGUUGUCAUUAGGUUUAUAAGAGACUUAGACACUAGUAAUAAUAACUGGGCUUAAGCAUUUUGGGCCGGUGGUUGGGGCCCAACUAGUUAUUGUUGCUAGUGGGCUGGGUCGU
RNAcentral lists this long non-coding RNA (1121 nucleotides) under Ananas comosus (pineapple). Its description in RNAcentral is "long non-coding RNA (ACOM_LNC042329)". Lineage: Eukaryota; Viridiplantae; Streptophyta; Magnoliopsida; Poales; Bromeliaceae. The record is from RNAcentral.